GAUGAACGCUAGCUACAGGCUUAACACAUGCAAGUCGAGGGACCGGCGCACGGGUGAGUAACACGUAUCCAACCUGCCCUUUACUCGGGGAUAGCCUUUCGAAAGUAAGAUUAAUACCCGAUGUAAAGGAUGGGGAUGCGUUCCAUUAGGUUGUUGGUGAGGUAACGGCCCACCAAGCCUUCGAUGGAUAGGGGUUCUGAGAGGAAGGUCCACGACAAUGGAACUGAGACAAGGUCCAAACUCGUAAGGGAGGCAGCAGUGAGGAAUAUUGGUCAAUGGGCGUUAGACUGAACCAGCCAAGUAGCGGGAAGGAUGAAGGCUUAUGGGUCGUAAACUUCUUUUAUAUAAGAAUAUGUAUUAUAUGAAUAAGGAUCGGCUAACUCCGUGCCAGCAGCCGCGGUAAUUC
RNAcentral lists this ribosomal RNA (406 nucleotides) under uncultured bacterium. Its description in RNAcentral is "partial 16S ribosomal RNA". It matches the Rfam family "Bacterial small subunit ribosomal RNA", at positions 28 to 526 of the family's 1533-position model. The record is from RNAcentral.